This 406-nucleotide ribosomal RNA is filed under the name uncultured bacterium. Its description in RNAcentral is "partial 16S ribosomal RNA". It matches the Rfam family "Bacterial small subunit ribosomal RNA", at positions 30 to 526 of the family's 1533-position model. The record is from RNAcentral.
AUUGAACGCUGGCGGCAGGCCUAACACAUGCAAGUCGAACGAGUGGCGGACGGGUGAGUAAUGUCUGGGAAACUGCCCGAAGGAGGGGGAUAACUACUGGAAACGGUAGCUAAUACCGCAUAACAUAGGAUGUGCCCAGAUGGGAUUAGCUAGUAGGUGGGGUAACGGCUCACUUAGGCGACGAUCCCUAGCUGGUCUGAGAGGAUGACACGCCAAACUGUAACUGAUACACUGUCCAGACGCCUACGGGAGGCAGCAGUGGGGAAUAUUGCACAGUUGGCGUAAGCCUGAUGCAGCCAUGCCGCGUGUAUGAAGAAGGCCUUCGGGUUGUAAAGUACUUUCAGCGAGGAGGCGUUACUCGCAGAAGAAGCACCGGCUAACUACGUGCCAGCAGCCGCGGUAAUUC